RNAcentral lists this unclassified non-coding RNA (405 nucleotides) under soil metagenome. RNAcentral's name for it is "partial contains 5.8S ribosomal RNA, internal transcribed spacer 2, and large subunit ribosomal RNA". The stretch from base 1 to 121 matches the Rfam family "5.8S ribosomal RNA", at positions 35 to 154 of the family's 154-position model. The record is from RNAcentral.
GAUGAAGAACGUAGCGAAAUGCGAUAAGUAAUGUGAAUUGCAGAAUUCAGUGAAUCAUCGAAUCUUUGAACGCACCUUGCGCCCUUUGGCCAUUCCGAAGGGCAUGCCUGUUUGAGUAUCAUGAACACCUCAACUCUUCAUGGUUUUCCAUGAUGAGCUUGGACUCUGGGGGUUUUGCUGGCUCACAGUCGGCUCCUCUAAAAUGAAUCAGCUUACCAGUGUUUGGUGGGUAUCAUGGGUGUGAUAACUAUCUACGCUUGUGGUUUUUCCACCAGGUAACCUUCAGCAGUGGAGGUUCGCUGGAGCUCAUAGAUGUCUCUCCUCAGUGAGGACAGCCCUUUGAAUGUUUGAUCUCAAAUCAGGUGGGACUACCCGCUGAACUUAAGCAUAUCAAUAAGCGGAGGA